This 1571-nucleotide long non-coding RNA is filed under the name Gossypium barbadense (sea-island cotton). RNAcentral's name for it is "long non-coding RNA (GBAR_LNC022669)". The record is from RNAcentral. Lineage: Eukaryota; Viridiplantae; Streptophyta; Magnoliopsida; Malvales; Malvaceae.
CCGAAAGUUUCAGGUUACCAUAGUUAAGGGUUUUGAUUUUCCUAAGCUCAAUUGUAAGUGAUUUCUUGCCCCGUUUUUAAUUAUUUUCGUAUUUUUAUGCUUAUUGAAGCUUGAAUUUCAUGUUUCUACCAUUUAAUUUAAAUGAAAUUAAAGUUUAAAAAUUGACCCAUUCAUGAUAUAAUUGUAAAUUGAUUAGUGAUGUUAGAUAAUGAAUGUUUGAAGUGUUAAUUACAAGUUUUACUAGAUGAAUUUCAAUGAAAAAUGUUGAAAAAGGGCUAAAUUGUGAAAGAUGGUAAAGUGUGCAUAAAGUUGUGAUUUUGUGAAAUUGAGGCCCGUUAUGAGCAUGAAAUAUGAUUUAGUGAAGUUUGAAAUUUAAGAAUUUAGAGAAUUUUAUUUUUACGAGCUUAGGGACAAAAGUGGAAUUUUUGAAAAGUUAUGGGGAAAAAUGUAAAUGUGUCAAAAUGUUGUGUAUGAAUUGUAUUUGAAUGGAAUAUUGAUAAAAUGUAUUAAAUUGUGUUAAUAUAGAUCAAGAAAGAAGAAAUAGUGCAAGUGAUCGGGGAAAAGAGAAAGUUAUCGACUAAAUUACAAAAAUAGUCGUUUUGCAUCCGAGGUAAGUUAUAUGUAAAUAAUAGUUAUAUUUGUAUAAAUUGUGAAUUAUAUUUGAUAUGUGAAUUAAUAUUGAAUGUGGAAGGAAAGUUGUUCAUGAAUUAUUCAAGUGAUAAAGUGUUGAAAAUAAAGUGUUAAGUGUAAAUUCCCGGUUGAACUUAGGAAUAGAAUUGGAUACAAGUGACAUGUCACUAGAGACCAGUGUUACAGUGUUACAGUGAGUCCCGGGUGCUGGGUGAUCUAGCAUGUGUUGCAGACACCUGACAGCUUGUGUGAGCAGACCCGUGGACAUUUCCAGUGUUAUUGAUCAGUGGUAGCUUCGGCUACAUUUCAGUGGUAGCUUUGGCUACAUCCAGUGGUAGCUUCGGCUACAUAUCAGUGGUAGCUUCGGCUACAUAUCAGUGUGGCACUUAUGUGCUAAAUCUCUACGUAUCCGUGUAUAUUCCAAGUGUUCAACGGGAUUAAUAAUGAAUUAAAGUGAAUAUGAAAUGUUAAGUGUGAAAAUGUAUAUGCAAGUGAAUUGGUAAGAUUGUGUAUGUGUAAGUGAUUGAAAUUGCUAAGAAAUGUUUUGAUUAGUUAUAUGUUAGAAGUGUUAAUUAUUAAUUGAGUAAUUAUUGUUUACAUGUAACUUACUAAGCUAUUUAUAGCUUACACAUCUCUUUCUUUCCUUUGUUUUAUAGUGAUUUGAACUUGAUCGAAUAGUGGAUCGUCGGAGCUCGUAUCACACUAUCAUAACCAUCUCGGUAUUAUGUGCUUUUCAAAAUGUUUAAACUAUGGCAUGUAUAGAGUCUUAAUCAUUUUGAGCAUGUCCAAAUGAUAUGGCUAAUGUUAGCUAUUGAAGUAGUUAUUAAAGAAUAUGUUUUGGAGUUAUGUAUGUUUAAAUGGUAACUAAUUCAAAGAAGCAGUUUCUUUGACAGUAGCAGUGACGUGAAUGUGAAAAAUCACCAUAAAUAGUAGAAAUGGAA